RNAcentral lists this ribosomal RNA (516 nucleotides) under uncultured bacterium. RNAcentral's name for it is "partial 16S ribosomal RNA". It matches the Rfam family "Bacterial small subunit ribosomal RNA", at positions 28 to 523 of the family's 1533-position model. The record is from RNAcentral.
GAUGAACGCUGGCGGCGUGCCUAAUACAUGCAAGUCGAACGCAUUGAGAGAAGUGCUUGCACUUUUCAAUUUGAGUGGCGAACGGGUGAGUAACACGUGGGCAACCUACCUGAUAGCGGGGGAUAACGAGUGGAAACAUUCGCUAAUACCGCAUAACAAUAGAGAAGGCAUCUUCUUUAUUUAAAAGGCGCUUUCAAGCGUCAAUAUCAGAUGGGCCCGCGGUGAAUUAGUUAGUUGGUGGGGUGAAGGCCUACCAAGACGAUGAUGCGUAGCCGAGUUGAGAGACUGAUCGGCCACAGUGGGACUGAGACACGGCCCAAGCUCCUACGGGAGGCUGCAGUAGGGAAUAUUCCACAAUGGACGAAAGUCUGAUGGAGCAACGCCGCGUGUGUGAUGAAGGCUUUCGGGUCGUAAAGCACUGUUGUAUGGGAAGAAAUGCUAGGCUAGGAAAUGAGCUUAGUUUGACGGUACCAUACCAGAAAGGGACGGCUAAAUACGUGCCAGCCGCCGCCGUAA